This 2765-nucleotide long non-coding RNA is filed under the name Pan troglodytes (chimpanzee). RNAcentral describes it as "lincRNA". Lineage: Eukaryota; Metazoa; Chordata; Mammalia; Primates; Hominidae. The record is from RNAcentral.
CCUGGCUCUUUCACAGGGGGCAUUGUGUCAUAUUGCUGGGCCCCACACAUAGGUUAUGUGAGUCUCCUGCCUGGGCCCUGCCCAUGUAGGCCAUUGUGACAUAUUGCUGGGUCCAACACCCAGGUGAUGUAACUCCACUGCCUCGGUCCUGCCUACAGCGGACAUUGUGAUAUAACCCUGCACCCAUCACACAGGAGGAGAUUGUAACGUAUCCCUAAUUGAGCACCCAGGUGGUGUGACACUUCUGCCCUGUCCCUGCCCUCAGAGGAGAUUCUGACAUAUCACUGCCCCAAAAUGCAGCACCUGAGUAAUUUGACUCUCCUGCCUGGACCCAGUGUACAGAUGGGAUUGUGCUUCAUUGCUGGACCCAGCAUUUAGGCCCACUACCUAUGAGAUUGCAUGCUCCUGCCUGGGCUGUGCCCACAGUGACCUUGUGACAUAUAUCUGCAUCCAUGACCUAAAAGAUGUGACACUUCUUGCCUGCAACCUGCCCUGCACAGGAAAGAUUGCGACUUCUCCCUGGAAGCAGACACCAGGGGUCAUCACUCCCGUGGAUGAUCAAAGCUACUCCGGGGGCUGAGGCAGGAGAAUCGCUUGAACUCGGGAAGCAGAAGUUGCAGUGAGCCAAGGUCGCACCACUGCACUCCAGCCCAGGCGACAUUGUGAGACUCCAUCUCAAAAAAAAAAGAAAAAAAGUGUACUAACAAGACCCAGCACACAGAGGAGACUUUUACCAUUAUAUGAACACCCAUCAAACAGUACACAUCAUCAUUGUGAGUUCUGAAUCUCACACAUAGAGGAAGUCAAAGGUGGAAAAAUUGACUCUCAUAUUUGGAUCCAGUCCACAGGUUCUGCUAGCAAGGAAGACUGAGACAUAUUGUGGGGCUCUACGCCAAUGUGACAUUACUGUUCUGCCUUGGCCUGCACCUGAAAAGGCAUUGUGACAUAUUGCUGGGCCCAGCAACAAGGUGGCAUGAGUCUUCCGUAUGGACCCUGACAACAGAGCAUUGUGACAUAUCUUUAAGAGCAUCAACUAUUUGAUGUGACUCUCCUUUUCUACGAAGGCUUUCCUCAUAUGAGAGAUUGUGACACAUCUUCUGGCACAGAAAUCAAGUGAUGUGUUUCUCCUGCCUGAGCUUUGCUCAUAGGGAGCAUUGUGACAUAUCUCUGGUCUCAGCACCCAGGUGUGAUUUUGACGCACACUUCUGCCCAGCACCUGAGUAAUGUGAUUCUUCAGAAUUGGCCCGGCCCACAAAUAGGAUUGUGCCACACUGCUGCACCCAGCGCCUAAGUGAUGUAACUCUAUUCUUCUGCCUUGGUGCUACUCGAAAAAGACAUUGUAACAUAUCUCAGAGCCUUACACCCAGGUAAUGUGAGUCUCCUCUUCUGCCUUGCUGCUGCACACAGAAGCAGAAUAGGUACAGGAUUGUUAAUCUCAUCUUGGAUCUUUCUGCACAUGUGAUUGUGACACAUGCCUCUGUGUAGAACCUGAGUGAGUUUACUCUCCUGCCUGGAUUUAACCCAUAGAUGGAAUCGUGACAUAUCACUGUACCAGAAACUAGGUGAUGUGACUCUAUUUUCUUGCCUCUGUGUUUUUAUAUGGGGCAUCGUGACAUAUCACUGGGCCUUGCACCCAAGUGAUGGGAGUUUUCUCUCCUGCUUUGGUGCCGUCCACAAUGAAAAUUGUGAAAUAUUGCUGCCCUCCCCACUAGGUUAUGUUACUCUCCUGCCUCUGCUUUGCCCACAUGGGUCACUGUGACAUAUUGCUGGGUCUAAAACCCAGGUAAUGUCACUCUCUUGUUUGGGUUCUGCCUGCAGGAGCCAUUGUCACAUAUCUCUGUGCUCAUCACCCAGGUAAUAUGACUCCCUUUUACUGCUUAGUUCCUUCUCACAAAACAACUUGUGACAUAUUGCUAGGCCCAAUACACCUACUUGGUGUAACUCUUCUUUUCUUUUCUUUCCUUUUUUUUUUUUUUUUUUUCGAGAUGGAGUCUCACUCUGUUGCCCAGGCUGGAGUGCAGCGGCAUGAUUUCAGCUCACUACAGCCUCUGCCUCCUAGGUUGAAGCGAUUGUCCUGACUUAGCCUCCCAAGUAGCUGGGAUUAAAGGCAUGUGCCACCACGCCCGGCUAAUUUUUGUAUUUAUAGUAGAGACAGUGUUUCGCCAUGUUGGCUAGGCUGGUUUCAAACUUCUAACCUCAGGUGAUCCUCCUGCCUCGGCCUCCCAAAGUACUGGAAUUACAGGCAUGAGCCACUGCACCUGGCCUGAUUCUUCUCUUCUUUCUAGGUUUCAACUGCAGCAGAGAUUGUAACAAACCACUGGGCCCAGCCGCAUAAUGGUGUUACUCUUUUGCCUUGGGCCUGCCCUCAGAAGGCACUGUCACAUAUUCAUGGGCCCAACGCCAAGGUGAUAUGUGUCUCCAGCCUGGACCCUGCCCACAGGGGGCAUUGUGACAUAUCUCUUGGCCCAUCAGAUGUUUGAUGUUAUCCCCUCCCCUCUUCUACCCUGUGUUUGCCUAUAAAAGACACAGUCAUAUGUUCCUGGGCCCAGCACCUAGGUGUUGUCUUACUGGAAUGUGUCCACAUGGGGAUUGUGAUAUGUCACGUGGCCCAGUACUUAACUUGAUGUGACUCUCCUCUCAUGCCUAGGCCUUGUAGAGAAUCCCCUUCCCCUUUUGUUUUCCUUUUUUUCUUUGCAGAUCCAGGAGAUAAUCAACUAAGAGCCAGGCACCCGUUUAGGUCUAAUAAGAAACAUUUUACAAACUGC